UUUAGCGCUAUCGUACGAUCGUGGAAGGCUAGUAGAACAGAUAACCUGCUGCCAUUGUGUCCUCAUGUGUGUGUACAUAUACUUCGCCGUGGCCUGAUAUUAAACAAAAGAAGAAAAAGAAGAAGAUGGCAAGGAUGUGGGUUGCUCUUUCUGAGGAUGUUUAUAGAGCCAAUGCAACCUUAAGCAUACCUGGGAUUCUUUUCCUGUUUUUCAUGGUCGCCGCGACGAUCUCCAUCAUGGCUGUAGUUAUCUUCAACUGUGGCGACAGCGGUGGUGCACCACGGCAAAAGAAGAGAAAAGGUUUGGAUGGCCAUGACCCCAUCGGUGAGCUUGGUGGUGGAGGCGAGAAUGAUGGUGGUGAUGAUGGUGGAGAUCAAAAUGGCAGCGAAGGGUAUGGUGAUGAUCACCAGCACCAGCACCACGUCGGUGGGCAUUGAUAAGCAGAUAAGAUAUCAGGCAUCACCAGCACCACCACCACCACGUCGGUGGUCAUCACCAUCACCACCACCACGACGUCGGUGGUCAUCACCAUCACCACCACCACCACCACGACGUCGGUGGUCAUCACCAUCACCACCACCACGACGUCGGUGGUCAUCACCAUAGUGGCGGGUUCCACCACAUGUAGUCAUAUAUCCCAUAAAUGAAUUGUAAUAUUUUUUUUAUAUUUAACAAAACGAUUCAUGUUUUUGUAAAGAUUAUAAUAUAUCUUUUCACUAUUUAUUUAUAACCUUCUUUCUCCAAAUAACGAUUGCCAGAAACAUGAUGUCAAUGUAAGUAAUAUCAUAUGUGGAUUUAUCCCGACACUAUUUGCAGAAUCAUCGACCAAAUAUCAGACUCGUGGAUGUGUAAUUUGUCGGCUACUACAAUAUCAAUUGACUUGUGAAAGGUAUAAUAAUAGAGGUAAAAUAUACAAAAUCUUGUUGAGAUAGCAGCGACUCGUGGAUAUAUCAGCAACCUGUAGGAAUUGAUUUCACUGUUAGAUCACAAUUAACCUAUUAGAAAAUAAAUUAGAUUAGGAAAUUGUCAGACGUCAACAAAUGUUUGAUCUGUUGUCUUAGGUUGGACUAGAGUUCGGGUUAUGCCACCUUAAAGUCCAUUAAUUAAUAACAGUAACAUACACAUGUAAAGUGCCAUGACCUCUUAUUGAUCUCUAACAAUUUUAAAAUUGUUUUUAUAUCCAUGCGAAUUUUAGAGACUUCUCUUUUGACAAAAGAGUAAUAUUUUAUUUUAUUUUGGAGACGAAAGCAAGAUAC
This 1256-nucleotide long non-coding RNA is filed under the name Musa acuminata (dwarf banana). Its description in RNAcentral is "long non-coding RNA (MACU_LNC002741)". The record is from RNAcentral. Lineage: Eukaryota; Viridiplantae; Streptophyta; Magnoliopsida; Zingiberales; Musaceae.